This is a long non-coding RNA of Spinacia oleracea (spinach), 804 nucleotides long. RefSeq lists it as uncharacterized. The transcript has 3 exons. The record is from RefSeq and is a predicted model, not a curated record. Lineage: Eukaryota; Viridiplantae; Streptophyta; Magnoliopsida; Caryophyllales; Amaranthaceae.
GGGCAAGGGUUUAAAUUUUAAAGCCCGAAUUUGUAAUGAAAACUCUAAUUCUAGUCAUUUCUUCUUAUUUCGUUGCACUAGUCUGAAUAUACUAAUUGAUAUGCAAGGUUUUGCACCUGAAUUGUCAAUUAGGUCGUUAGGGGUUAGGAAUUGGGAUAAUUAUAUCCAAGUUAAUUAUGGAAGCUCAUAAGUAACUUCUCUUAUCUAUUCAUAGUAUUCACUUGUCCUGAACAUAUCAGCACCACUCCAUUAGUGCUCCAUCCAAAUUUCCAGUGUUGCAUAAUCAGUCAAAGUUUCUCUUUAUGUUUGUCUGGUACACUAUUAAGUUCUCUUCAUCCCUUCAAUGCAGAUUUUCUCAUACUAUUUUUCACAGAGGCUCUCUUCUACUGUGGUGUUGCAAUUUUUCUUUUCCUUAUUCACUCUCUGCGUAGCCCCGCUAAAAGUGUUCCUGUUGCCAGCAGUUGUGGAAAGCUAACCACUCAGAUGGGGAGUCGUAUAUCUUCAGUUGCUAUUUUGAUGCUUAGACAGCUUAGUCUUAUUAUUCCAAUGGUGACAAUGGUUUUGUUUGGCCGUGGACUGGUCCUGCAGCAUCAGCUUCUCUAGCUCCUUACUUGGUUGGUAUUGUUGUACAGUUUGCAUUCGAGCAGUAUGCAAAAUAUACGAAAUCACCUUCCUGGGCCGUCAUUCUAGUUGUAUUUCAGGUGUGACUCAUAUGGGUGGAGACAUGUUCAAAUUGAUUCCUUCUGGUGAUGCAAUCUUCAUGAAGUUUUCCCCUGGUGACCCAAGCAAGUUCAUGGUUACUAU